Mus musculus (house mouse) is the source of this 870-nucleotide long non-coding RNA. RefSeq annotates it as predicted gene 15627. Lineage: Eukaryota; Metazoa; Chordata; Mammalia; Rodentia; Muridae. The transcript has 2 exons. The record is from RefSeq and is marked validated.
CGCGCGCUUUUACGCGGCCCUCCCCCCAACCCCCCGGACUACUCCAGCUUGCUGAUGUCAAGCCAGGGGGGCUGGGCUGCUGCGCCACGGUGCCCUGGGAAUGCAAGAUUUCGGGGUUCCCCAGGGACACAGAGGAACCCGAUGGGACAUAUAGGGAAUUUGGAGCGGAUUUAAGCUUAGAUGCAUGCUCUUUAAUCGCUCAAACUCAGGAUUAGGUACUUUCUUUGGGGUGUCAAUCGAGAACCCCUUUCCUCAACAAGCAACUCCAGCGUUGGAAAAGGCCUGAUCCUGCCAGAGGAGAGAUUUAGAGGAAUCGGUGAUUGUCGUUCAGGGAAGGAAAGCAAAAGAAGAGUUGGGUUAGAUAGAGAAGGGUGCCGGCUUCCUUGGAAAAGGGUGCUGGGGGCUGAAUGAGAGCACGCAGGCAGGGGGAGGGGGGCGCUCAGAGGGAGAGCUGCGCGGCCUUCCAGGCAGAAGGAACACCGUGUCCAAACGCACAGAAGCGUGAAAGCCCCCACGAGUGCUUUGACGUUGUGGUGGGUCAAGUCUACCUGACGAGGCGAACAGGGAACUCUUCGGGGAGAAAAUCCUGCCUGUCAAUCUCAUAUUCUCAGUUCCCUUCUAUCAGAUGGGGGCUUAUUGUGCUGCCUCAUACCCACUAAAGGGCGUGAAACCCAGAAUUCUCACUAUGUCUUUUAAUGUAGUUAAAGAUUGGGCCUUCGAGAUGGCUCAGUGGGUAAAGACGCUGCCAAGUUUGCUGACCUGAGUUCGAUCUUCUGGACCUUGGAAGGAGAGAAUGGAACCCUGCAGGUUGUUCCUCUGAUUUGUACAUGCGUGCACACACGUAAUUUCAAUAAAUAACUGAUAGCUCUA